Molecule: ribosomal RNA, 2295 nt
Filed under: Porolithon castellum
Lineage: Eukaryota; Rhodophyta; Florideophyceae; Corallinales; Porolithaceae
Description: LSU rRNA
Rfam family: Eukaryotic large subunit ribosomal RNA
Source: RNAcentral
CGGCGAGCGAAGCGGGAUGAGACCGAGAUGAAAAUCCCUUCGGGGAGUUGUAGUCUGAUUUAUGUUGAGCAGUGAAUGUAAGUCGCAUGGAAUUGUGUACCGUGGAGGGUGAGAGUCCCGUCCAACAUUCACUUUCUCGUACGACAUAAAUUCAACCGAGUCGGGUAGCUUGAGAUCGCUGCUCUAAUAGGUGGUAAACUUCAUCUAAGUCUAAAUACCGAACAAGUACCGUGAGGGAAAGAUGGAAAGCACUUUGAAAAGAGGGUGAAAAGUACCUGAAACCGCCACGGGGGAAGCGUAUUGCAUCAGUGUGGUGCGGCGUUGUUCAGCAACGUGUUGGAAUGGCUGUUGAAUUGUAGAUGAUGGUGAGGGCUCCCGAGGAUNUUCAACGAAAUGAUGCGAUUCGACCCGUCUUGAAACACGGACCAAGGAGUUUAGCAUUACUGCGAGUCGAAGAGUGAAGGCGAAGUGAAAGCGAAGGUUGAGGAGGUGUUGCGUCAUUGACAAAAUAUCCUACCUAGAGCAGUAAUGCUGAGACCCGAAAGAUGGUGAACUAUGCCGGAGUAGGGCAAAGCCAGAGGAAACUCUGGUGGAGGCUCGUAGCGAUGCUGACGUGCAAAUCGCUCGUCGAACUUGGGUAUAGGGGCGAAAGACUAAUCGAACCAUCUAGUAGCUGGUUCCCUCCGAAGUUUCUCUCAGGAUAGCGGGCCGACUUGUUUUGUGUGGUAAAGCGAAUGAUUAGCGUAUUUGGGGAUGUAAUAUCUUCGGUCGAUUCUCAAACUUUAAAUACGCAAGAUAGAGGUGGUUGCUUGGAAAACGUCGGCCCUGUGGGCCACUUUUGGUAAGCAGAACUGGCGAUAUGGGAUGAACCAUAAGUUUGGUUAAGGCGUCAAAAUACCCGCUUAAAGAUCCCACAAAAGGUGUUGGUUCAUCUAGACAGCAGGACGGUGGCCAUGGAAGUCGGAAUCCGCUAAGGAGUGUGUAACAACUCACCUGCCGAAUGAACUAGCCCUGAAAAUGGAUGACGCUAGCGGGUUGCCGACACCAGACCGUUUCGAUAAGAUCGAAAUGAGUAGGAGGGCGUGGCGGUAGGAUGAGACGCAAGUCUAUCUGAAACGGCCGCUAGUGCAGAUCUUGGUGGUAGUAGCAAAUAUUCAAGCGAGAUCCUUGAAGGGCGAAGCGGGGAAGGGUUCCACGCGAACAUUGAUUGGGCGUGGGUGAGUCGUUCCUAAGCCGGGUGGUAAUCGUUCUUCGGCGAAAGGGAAGCGGGUUAAAAUUCUCGCACACGGAUGUGGAGGCGGUGACGCAAAUUGAGGUGGAGACGUUAGCGGUGGCACUGGGCAGAGUUUUCUUUUCUGUUUAACCUGUGCACUCUGUGGAAUCCGAUUAUCGGGCGAAACAGGUGCUGGGAAGAGCGUCGGGGCGUCCCCGGCGUCCAGUACGCCACCGAUAGCCCUUGAAAAUCCAUCUGCAAUUCACGCCGUGGCGUACCGAUAACCGCAUCAGGUCCCCAAGGUGAACAGCCUCUGCUCAAUAUGAACAAUGCAGGUAAGGGAAGUCGGCAAAAUAGACCCGUAACUUUGGGAAAAGGGUUGGCUCUAGUGGGGUGAAGGUUAACUGUGGCAACGACCUUCAGCAUGCUCCAAACUAGAACUGCAACGGGCAAAGGGAAUCCGACUGUUUAAUUAAAACAAAGCAUUGCGAUGGCCGAGGUCGGUGUAGACGCAAUGUGAUUUCUGCUCAGUGCUCUGAAUGUCAAAGUGAAGAGAUUCAAACAAGCGCGGGUAAACAGCGGGAGUAACUAUGACUCUCUUAAGGUAGCCAAAUGCCUCGUCAUCUAAUUAGUGACGCGCAUGAAUGGAUUAACGAGAUUCCUACUGUCCCUAUCUGCUUCUAGCGAAACCACAGCCGAGGGAACGGGCUCGGCGAAAUCGGCGGGGAAAGAAGACCCUGUUGAGCUUGACUCUAUUCUAAUUUUGUGACGCAAGUUAGGAGGUGUAGCAUAGGUGGGAGACUCGACAAUGAAAUACCACUACUCUUAAUCUUGUUUUACUUAUGGCAUUAGACUGCACGAUCCCCCUUGGAGCAGCGUGCCUGACAUAUUUAGGAGGGGAGUUUGGCUGGGGCGGCACAUCUUCUACAAGACAACGAAGGUGUCCAAAGAUAAGCUCAGUGAGAACAGAAAUCUCACGUAGCGCAAAAGGGUAAAAGCUUGUUUGAUUUCGAUUUUCAGUGUGAGUUGAAAACGCGAAAGCGUGGCCUAUCGAUCCUUUCACAAUUCGAGGUUUGAAGCGA